This 465-nucleotide ribosomal RNA is filed under the name uncultured bacterium. RNAcentral describes it as "partial 16S ribosomal RNA". It matches the Rfam family "Bacterial small subunit ribosomal RNA", at positions 28 to 507 of the family's 1533-position model. The record is from RNAcentral.
GAUGAACGCUGGCGGCGUGCCUAACACAUGCAAGUCGAGCGGAGAAUUGUUGCUUGCAACAAUUCUUAGCGGCGGACGGGUGAGUAACACGCGGGUAACCCGCCCUAAUCAAAGGGAUAACAAUGAGAAAUAAUUGCUAAUACCGCAUAAGCUUACACUAUCGCCUGAUAGAGUAAGAAAAGAUUUAUCGGUUUAGGAGGGGCCCGCGUCUGAUUAGCUAGUUGGAGAGGUAACGGCUCACCAAGGCGACGAUCAGUAGCCGACCUGAGAGGGUGAUCGGCCACAUUGAGACUGAGACACGGCCCAAACUCCUACGGGGGGCAGCAGUGGAGAUUAGUGCACAAUGGAGGAAACUCUGAUGCAGCAACGCCGCGUGAAAGAAGAAGGUUUUCGGAUCGUAAACUUCUAUCUACAGGGAAGAAAAAAAUGACGGUACCUGAGUAAGAAGCCCCGGCUAACUACGUG